AGCCAGAGUAGAAGCGUUCAACUUCGCGCCAUGCGAAGCGGGAAAUUGCUCUUGAG
RNAcentral lists this non-coding RNA (56 nucleotides) under Hydrogenophaga sp. Its description in RNAcentral is "Xanthine-I sequence". It matches the Rfam family "Xanthine riboswitch aptamer (NMT1 RNA)". Rfam says of the family: Later it was reported as a ncRNA that recognised Xanthine. RNAcentral also lists the same sequence under 1 other name. The record is from RNAcentral. Lineage: Bacteria; Pseudomonadati; Pseudomonadota; Betaproteobacteria; Burkholderiales; Comamonadaceae.